GGACGGGGCGAACCGGCCCCGCAAUCGGCCCGGGCCGGGCCAGCGCUCUCGGCGGCCGAGCCCGAAGGGAGCGGUCCGGGGACGGCGGCGAUGGGCGGGCUCCAGGGCCCCGACGGACUGGCCCUGGCCAGGUACUGGCCCCGUCGCGCUGCGGCCGUGCCGUGCCGUGCCCGCAGACCGCCCCGCAGACCCGCGGGGCCCGCCCCGGCCAGGGCCCGGACUGCCCCUUUCCCGGGCCAAGAGUCUCUGUGGGCUCGGAGCGGGAUCUCCGUGAGACCGGCGGGCUCGGGCGCCGCGGGGCCAGGGGAGACCGCGGGACCGCCCGCAGACGCACUCGGGCCGUGGUGGGAACGGAGAGGGCUGAAAUCCGAAAAGGGGCCCCCCGUCCCCCCUUGUUGCUCCCCAGAGGCCCCGGCGCCGCGCCCCGCGGGGUGGUCCCGGUGCUCGGCACGGCGGGCGGGAGCGGGCAUGCGGCGCGGAGCCCCGGCGGCGCGGGGUCGGAUGUCCCGGCCCUGGCACUCCCCCGGCCCCCGCUGAGCAGCACAGAGCCCGGGGCUCGACCCCCCGCACUCCGAGUGCCACACGCGUCCCCCGGGUGGCGGCCGGUGGCCCUGGUGUGCAUCGCUCCGUCUGCAGAGCAAGCGAGACCCGUGUGAGCUGAAAGCUCCUGAGCUGCGGCGAGAGCUCUGCGGCUCCGCUACGCUCUGUGUGUUCGGGGAACAUCGCCUGCCCCUUGUGGGGAGUCUUCACGCUAAAGCAGAGGACUUCUCCCCCCAGCUCAACAUUUAGGUUGUGCUCCUGUCUACAGGGAGCUGCUCACGGGGCCUGCAAUAUGCUGAGCAUCAGGCAAACUAAAGCCCUGCUUCAGAAAAGCGUCGGGAUUGCUACGUAAAGCACUUGGACGCUGAGAAAUGCCACAGCUGAAGUCGUGUCUGUGCUCACUCUGUAUUUUCAGUGGCACAGUGACACGCCAGACCUCCAUCUCUCACCUAGGGUAUUCCUCUUUUCAGGCCCCCUGUGUUUUCCUGCCUGCGCUCCCUCUUUGACCAGGGAUGCAGUACCUCUGGCUGCUUAGCUACCCAGGCUCCCUGGUGGCAUUACUAUCUGUAUGAACACAUGGAUUUCUAAACCAUCACCUUCUGCUCUGUCCCUGAGGAGAUCUGGAACACCACUUUGCUGCAGCCUUGAAGCACAUGUUUUGUGUGGGACAUGAAAGCCCAGCCAUGGAGCUGGACACUUGGAUCCUGUGUGGAGUGUGUAAGUUAGGCAAAGUGGGUAUACCGGGUACUCAGCCUUCCUCCACUAAACAGGCACAGUCUGACUCCCCAGGGUCCAGCUAUGACAUCACAGAGCCUCCUUUUUCUUUCCUGUCUUUUGUGCCUUUCUCUGUGGCACAUCCUUGCAGUCCCAAGGAAAUAUCCCUCUGCAGCGAGAACUGCCCUGCCCCCAGCCAGGGAAACAAGUGUGGAAAAGCCAAUGGUCAUCAACCAGUCAGUCCCUAGUCCAGGAUGAGGGCCCAGAUUCCAGGCUGGGAAGGAAGCUGGCAGUGAGGAGCAUUUGGAUGGAUCCCACCAUAGGGAUCAGUUGUGAUACAAAGGACAUGGUCCAGGUCUGCAGAUAGGUUAGCAAGAUGUUUGAGAGCAACAGGAAACUGCUCUACUCUGUGACCUUGCUGGGAAGCUGAAUGAGCUGGGGUGACGUGUCUCCCACAAGGGAGGAUGGUGGCCUGUGCCGACAGCAGCAGGUCCUGCCUGAAGCCUGGAGCACAAGCUCCAUACUGACUUCUACACAUCAAUAUCUGGCACCCAGUAAGUCCCUACUUGUGUCUCCAAGACAGCUUCUGCUUACCUCAUCAUACACUUGCAUUACCUGCAGCCCCUGUCUCCCUUCAAACAUUCAAUCUCUGUUCCAUGCUGGGAGCAGCAAGGAAAGACUGCUUCCAGAGGGGUGGGAAGCCAGGGAGCAAGGGCUUGAAGUCCACAGGGUGAAGUCCACAGGACCUGAGGAAGACUUUGUAGUAAAGAACGAAAGAAUCUCAUAUGCCAAAUCAUGAAGCCAAGAUUCAGAUAAGGAAAGGUUGAAGGACUGCAGAAAAAAUUAAAAAGUUGCAAAA
Molecule: long non-coding RNA, 2113 nt
Organism: Pseudopipra pipra
Lineage: Eukaryota; Metazoa; Chordata; Aves; Passeriformes; Pipridae
Exons: 4
Source: RefSeq, a predicted model, not a curated record